AUUGGAACGCUGGCGGCCGUGGUAACACAUGCAAGUCGAGCGGAUGGACGGGAGCCCGGCUCCCUGAUUCAGCGGCGAGCGGGUGAGUAACGUCUAGGAAUCUGCCUGGUAGUGGGGGACAACGUUCCGAAAGGAGCGCUAACAUCGCAUACGUCCUAAGGGAGAAAGUGGGGGGGUCGGACCUCACGCUAUCAGAUGAGCCUAGGUCGGAUUAGCUAGUUGGUGGGGUAAUGGCUCACCUAGGCGACGAUCCGUAACUGGUCUGAGAGGAUGAUCAGUCACACUGGGAACUGAGACACGGUCCAAGCUCCUACGGGAGGCAGCAGUGGGGUAUAUUGGACAAUGGGCGAAAGCCUGAUCCAGCCAUGCCGCGUGUGUGAAGAAGGUCUUCGGAUUGUAAAGCACUUUAAGUUGGGAAGAAGGGUAGUAAGUUCGAGCUUGCUGUUUGACGUUACCAC
RNAcentral lists this ribosomal RNA (458 nucleotides) under Pseudomonas citronellolis. RNAcentral describes it as "bacterial SSU rRNA". It matches the Rfam family "Bacterial small subunit ribosomal RNA", at positions 31 to 481 of the family's 1533-position model. Lineage: Bacteria; Pseudomonadati; Pseudomonadota; Gammaproteobacteria; Pseudomonadales; Pseudomonadaceae. The record is from RNAcentral.